Molecule: ribosomal RNA, 440 nt
Filed under: uncultured bacterium
Lineage: Bacteria
Description: partial 16S ribosomal RNA
Rfam family: Bacterial small subunit ribosomal RNA
Source: RNAcentral
CCUACGGGAGGCAGCAGUAGGGAAUAUUGCUCAAUGGGGGAAACCCUGAAGCAGCAACGCCGCGUGGAGGAUGACGGUUUUCGGAUUGUAAACUCCUUUUGUUAGAGAAGAUAAUGACGGUAUCUAACGAAUAAGCACCGGCGAACUCCGUGCCAGCAGCCGCGGUAAUACGGAGGGUGCAAGCGUUACUCGGAAUCACUGGGCGUAAGGAGCGCGUAGGCGGGAUAGCAAGUCAGAUGUGAAAUCCUAUGGCUUAACCAGAGAACUGCAUUUGAAACUGUUAUUCUAGAGUAUGGGAGAGGUAGGUGGAAUUCUUGGUGUAGGGGUAAAAUCCGUAGAGAUCAAGAGGAAUACUCAUUGCGAAGGCGACCUGCUAGAACAUAACUGACGCUGAUGCGCGAAAGCGUGGGGAGCAAACAGGAUUAGAUACCCUAGUAGUC